Poecile atricapillus (Black-capped chickadee) is the source of this 908-nucleotide long non-coding RNA. RefSeq lists it as uncharacterized. The record is from RefSeq and is a predicted model, not a curated record. Lineage: Eukaryota; Metazoa; Chordata; Aves; Passeriformes; Paridae. The transcript has 3 exons.
UGUGCCGGGCGCGGGGCCGGCGCCAUUUUGUGCAGCGGGCAGUGAGGCGCCCGCGCGCCAGCGGGGAGCGGCGCCAUUUCCUGCCCUCCCCCGGCGGGCGCCGCGCGGGCCGGCAGCGCCUGAGGGGACGGGAACGGACAGGGCACGGGCGGCGGCCGCAGCGCCCCCCGGGGAGCGGAUCCGGCUCGGCCGGGGCCGUCCGCUCCUCCUUGGGCCGUGCGCGGGGCCCCGCGGGGCCGCACGGCCGGGCCGGGCACGGUGAGCGCUCUGCCCGUCUCUUCCCGGCCUCCUGUCGCAUUACCUCCGGCUACCAUUCCAGCCCGGGUCUGGGGGAGAAGGACGCUGUGCUUAAAGCUCUGCUUGGGACUGUUUAUCCCUACGUGAUUUGUAGCAUCAACAGCUAUAAAAAGCAGAAAUACACAAACCAGUGACAUGCCAUUUAAGAUUAAGCCACAUACUGAUUGAAAAGUAACUGAUAAUCAGCAACAAAGCUUUUCCAAGUGGCCCAUUCCAGAAUUAUUGUCUAUCCCAGCUGGACUACAUCACAUCUCAGGAAAUAAUUUAUCAGCCACUUGAUGUGUUUGUUAACAUACCUGGAAUUCAUCUACCUUCAGGUAAUCAAAUCAAUUGUUUUAAAAUCCAAGCAAUUAGGACAAAUAUGCUUUUAUUUCCUCAGCCAUCUCCCAAAGUAGUGGCACAUUUCUACCAUUCCUCCCACCUGUGGUAUUGCCAUCCAGUUUGUCCACCAAGGUUUUGUGACCUGACAAUUUCAAGAGAUUUCAAACAACCCUGUUUUGAUGGAGACAUUAUCAGGCUUGGAAUAUAUAUAUAUAUAAAAUUUUCUGUAUUAUGCUUCCUAAGCACACCCAGGGCAUUCACAGAGCAAAAGGAGGCAUUAUUGGUAUAAA